Molecule: long non-coding RNA, 446 nt
Organism: Homo sapiens (human)
Lineage: Eukaryota; Metazoa; Chordata; Mammalia; Primates; Hominidae
Gene: SETD4-AS1
Product: SETD4 antisense RNA 1
Source: Ensembl
GCAAGUUAAAGGAACCGGCCAAAACUGCAGAGGGAGAGGCUGAAGGCUGUCGCGCCUGCCUGGUGUCCUUAAGCAAUCCAAGUCCUCAGUCUCCCGGGUCCGCCCCUUCCGCCGCGGGCGGCAGCUUCCGGCUCGCGCAUGCGCAGUGUUCGCGGACUCGCCGCCAACGCCCAGUACAGUCGGGGACGAGUCCAAGAGGCCCUUUGCCAAUUCCAACUGGAACAUCCAACAUCGGACACUAAUCCAGCCAACUGCCAUAACUACAGCUUUGAUUAGACAAGAGACUGAUUUCAACAACUUUCUCCUGAUAAGAAGAUCAUGGACUAUGGAAUGGACUGGUUCUGGUUUACAGAGGCUGUGUACUUGCGUGCCUUGAUGUCCUGAAAGACCUUUUGACAGAUAGGGCCUAAUGGUAAUACAUUUAAAUGUCAAGUCACCAUCCCAAA